Molecule: small RNA, 218 nt
Filed under: Arabidopsis thaliana (thale cress)
Lineage: Eukaryota; Viridiplantae; Streptophyta; Magnoliopsida; Brassicales; Brassicaceae
Description: ATSL038620
Source: RNAcentral
UUUUUAACCCUAAACCCUUAAACCUAAACACUUAAACCUAAACCCUAAACCCUUAAACCUAAACCCUAAACACUAAACCAUAGAUCCCAAACUUUAAAACCUAAAUCCUACUUUAGGCUUCCGGAAUCCGGUUGCGGUUCUAGUUCUUAUGCUCAAUGAUACACAAAGCAUCUAGUCAUAUUUGACUACGAAUCCGCUAACCAAGCUUAUUCUUGAUA